GCAGUCGAACGGAACACCCUUGACAGAGGUUUCGGCCAAUGAAGAGGGCUGUUUAGUGGCGGACUGGUGAGUAACGCGUGAGGAGCCUGCCUUUCAGAGGGGGACAACAGCUGGAAACGGCUGCUAAUACCGCAUGAUGCAUAACUGGGACAUCCCGGAUAUGCCAAAGAUUUAUCGCUGAAAGAUGGCCUCGCGUCUGAUUAGCUAGUUGGUGGGGUAACGGCCUACCAAGGCGACGAUCAGUAGCCGGACUGAGAGGUUGACCGGCCACAUUGGGACUGAGAUACGGCCCAGACUCCUACGGGAGGCAGCAGUGGGGAAUAUUGGGCAAUGGACGCAAGUCUGACCCAGCAACGCCGCGUGAAGGAAGAAGGCUUUCGGGUUGUAAACUUCUUUUAAGGGGGAAGAGCAGAAGACGGUACCCCUUGAAUAAGCCACGGCUAACUACGUGCCAGCAGCCGCGGUAAUACGUAGGUGGCGAGCGUUGUCCGGAUUUACUGGGUGUAAAGGGCGUGCAGCCGGGAAUGCAAGUCAGAUGUGAAAUCUGGAGGCUCAACCUCCAAACUGCAUUUGAAACUGUGUUUCUUGAGUGUCGGAGAGGUAAUCGGAAUUCCUUGUGUAGCGGUGAAAUGCGUAGAUAUAAGGAAGAACACCAGUGGCGAAGGCGGAUUACUGGACGAUAACUGACGGUGAGGCGCGAAAGCGUGGGGAGCAAACAGGAUUAGAUACCCUGGUAGCCCACGCUGUAAACGAUCAAUACUAGGUGUGCGGGGACUGACCCCCUGCGUGCCGCAGUUAACACAAUAAGUAUUGCAC
Molecule: ribosomal RNA, 816 nt
Filed under: uncultured Oscillibacter sp.
Lineage: Bacteria; Bacillati; Bacillota; Clostridia; Eubacteriales; Oscillospiraceae
Description: bacterial SSU rRNA
Rfam family: Bacterial small subunit ribosomal RNA
Source: RNAcentral